AGUGAACGCUGGCGGUAGGCCUAACACAUGCCAGUCGAACGGCAGCACAGUAAGAGCUUGCUCUUACGGGUGGCGAGUGGCGGACGGGUGAGGAAUACAUCGGAAUCUACUUUUUCGUGGGGGAUAACGUAGGGAAACUUACGCUAAUACCGCAUACGACCUACGGGUGAAAGCAGGGGAUCUUCGGACCUUGCGCGAUUGAAUGAGCCGAUGUCGGAUUAGCUAGUUGGCGGGGUAAAGGCCCACCAAGGCGACGAUCCGUAGCUGGUCUGAGAGGAUGAUCGGCCACACUGGAACUGAGACGCGGACCAGACUCCUACGGGAGGCAGCAGUGGGGAAUAUUGGACAGUGGGCGCAAGCCUGAUCCAGCCAUACCGCGUGGGUGAAGAAGGCCUUGGGGUUGUAAAGCCCUUUUGUUGGGAAAGAAAAGCAGCAGGUUGAUACCCCGCUGUUCUGACGGUACCCAAAGAAUAAGCACCGGCUAACUUCGUG
Molecule: ribosomal RNA, 492 nt
Filed under: uncultured bacterium
Lineage: Bacteria
Description: partial 16S ribosomal RNA
Rfam family: Bacterial small subunit ribosomal RNA
Source: RNAcentral